This is a long non-coding RNA of Conger conger (European conger), 318 nucleotides long. RefSeq lists it as uncharacterized. Lineage: Eukaryota; Metazoa; Chordata; Actinopteri; Anguilliformes; Congridae. The record is from RefSeq and is a predicted model, not a curated record. The transcript has 3 exons.
GAAAUCGCGCUGGUGGCAAGCCAAGCGUGAGCUCUGUUAGCCGCGAUUGUGUUGUCUGCAUUGGCUUUCGGGCUGCAGCCCGCUUAAAAAAAUACCUAGCAUGGCGCAGGAUUUGGCUCUGUCUGCCCGGUCCAUUUUUGCAUGAACCUGGGAAAUCAUAACCAACAACCUCAUCUACUGUUGCAUGUACGGACAGCUGGGAUGUACACAAUUCAGCAGACAGCCACUCUCCAAUCAAGGAAUACGGGAUUCAGGAAACAGCGUCCGAACUCCAGGUGCUUUCUUGGGACAGCACUCACAUAUAGAUGAAUAGGAGAG